Molecule: non-coding RNA, 651 nt
Organism: Misgurnus anguillicaudatus (oriental weatherfish)
Lineage: Eukaryota; Metazoa; Chordata; Actinopteri; Cypriniformes; Cobitidae
Source: RefSeq, a predicted model, not a curated record
AGAGGAUCAAUCAAACUUGGGUUGGAAUGAUGUAGUGCACUGCAUCCAAUGGAUCUUGGAACUCGUAGUCCGUUUACAUCUAACUUACAGCAGCAUAUCUAUGCUACAGCAGUGACAACGCCAAAGAAAAGGACUACAUUUCCCAGAAUGCACCUGCACCCACUCAGCUGCCCCCACCCUUCAGGUGCGACUGCUUGACCUAUGGGCUUGACGGGAAAAUUCAAAAUCGCGAACCGUUACUGCCUGGACUGUCUCUUUGUUUGUUUGCUCAUCAACAGUAAGAGGUCAUGUACACUGUGGUCAACUUUGUGGACGCUGAAGAGGUUUCUGGAGAAAUAAUGAAGUAACAGUGGAAGCUAAAACUUCAGACUGAUCCAGACGCUGAAGAAAUUGAGGUCACUGCAAUCUGGCCAAAAUGAUACAACUAUAUUGAAGUAGUCUACUGUAAUAAAGCUGCAGAACAACACAGAGACUCUGAGGACAUCAACACAGAAAAUGAAGGCUCCAAAGAGAUGUCUGUCCAGAUGAGGGUGCAUCAACGUUACCUUUGCUGACAAGUAUAUGCUUUACAAUGUAAAACCUAACAGUUAACUUAACUCAAACCAUUUAAGGAAAUCGGUUGCCUUAAAGGGAAAUUCCGCCUUGAAAUGA